GGAAUCAGACCUAUAUGCCUCGUGUUUAACUGUCCAACUUUUUGGGGUCAGUACACCCACGAGGCCCACUGUAUGUCUAACCAACACCAGUAUGGCCUCUUACCGUGCAAAUUGCAAGGAGGAGUAAACCAUG
Molecule: antisense RNA, 133 nt
Filed under: Escherichia coli
Lineage: Bacteria; Pseudomonadati; Pseudomonadota; Gammaproteobacteria; Enterobacterales; Enterobacteriaceae
Description: sok
Rfam family: sok antitoxin (CssrC)
About the family: Also identified in Shigella as CssrC.
Source: RNAcentral